CGCCGAUCUGAACCUUUACCUUAACCACGACCAUCAAGGAGGCCGCCGCACCGGCGAGCCGUCGCUCCGUCUCUUCCGACGAUCCGAACCUUUACCUGAACCACGACCACCGCGGAGGCCGCUGCGCCGAUGAGCCGUCGCUUCGUCUCUUCCGCUGAUCCGAACCUUUACCUGAACCACGACCACCGAGGAGGCCUCCGCGCCGAGCAGCAACACCAACAGAUGGAGGACGACCACCAAGGAGGCUGCCACGCCGGCGAGCCGUCGCUCCAUCUCUUCCGCCGAUCCGAAUCUUUACCUGAACCACGACCAUCGAGGAGGCCGCCGCGCCGGCGAGCCGUCGCUCCGUCUCUUCCGCCGAUCCGAACCUUUACCUGAACCACGACCACCGCGAAGGCCGCCGCGCCGACGAGCCGCCGCUCCGCCUCCGCCGCUGGUCUGAACCUUGACUUGAAUCUCAACCUCCACGUCUCGUCUUAUUGACUCUGAUGUGAUCGAUCGACGGCCCCCAUGUAAAUAUAUAGCUGCAUCCUUUCAACUUCCACAAUUUAAUGGACUUAAUUUGGAGAAGAUGAAGUGGGAAAAGUUGUUGUGGAGAAAGUAGAGGGUUGCGAUCGGGAAGCAGAGGUGGC
This 632-nucleotide long non-coding RNA is filed under the name Triticum aestivum (bread wheat). RNAcentral describes it as "long non-coding RNA (TAES_LNC003347)". The record is from RNAcentral. Lineage: Eukaryota; Viridiplantae; Streptophyta; Magnoliopsida; Poales; Poaceae.